This is a long non-coding RNA of Austrofundulus limnaeus, 413 nucleotides long. RefSeq lists it as uncharacterized. Lineage: Eukaryota; Metazoa; Chordata; Actinopteri; Cyprinodontiformes; Rivulidae. The transcript is spliced from 3 exons. The record is from RefSeq and is a predicted model, not a curated record.
CCGAGCCUUCAAAGGGGCCGCCGGCCGCCAAUUUGAUUUGCAGGUUAUUAGCUAAUUAGCUAGCGACUCACUGGGCUUGUUGCCCUCCAGGCCUGGUGGUGGGGACGUAAACUGGAGGAGACACAAGAGUGAGGACCGUCACAUGUUUUUAACCAACAAAGCGAGGACAUUUCCCCUGUCCUCACUCUCUUUGCAGAAUUCAAAACUUAACACAACUCAACAUAAUUUGCUGCAGGACGGCUCGCUCUGCAGCAGCUGGCUGCGAACGCACCACUCGAGUCUUUGUUGUGUUGACAAGCAGGACGGAGAGGUCAGCGUCUGUCAGUCACUGGCUUUUGUUUGUUUGAGUCGACGUGCYGGUGAAAGUGACACGCUGCUGAUUGUUGAGUUCUGUUUCUGGGUCUUAAACUUAA